GUGCCAGCAGCCGCGGUAAUACGUAGGUGGCAAGCGUUGUCCGGAAUUAUUGGGCGUAAAGGGCGCGCAGGCGGUUUUCUAAGUCUGAUGUGAAAUCUUGCAGCUUAACUGCAAGCGGUCAUUGGAAACUGGGGAACUUGAGUACAGAAGAGGAGAGUGGAAUUCCACGUGUAGCGGUGAAAUGCGUAGAUAUGUGGAGGAACACCAGUGGCGAAGGCGGCUCUCUGGUCUGUGACUGACGCUGAGGUGCGAAAGCGUGGGUAGCGAACAGGAUUAGAUACCCUGGUAGUCCACGCCGUAAACGAUGAGUGCUAGGUGUUGGGGGGUCCACCCCUCAGUGCUGGAGCAAACGCAUUAAGCACUCCGCCUGGGGAGUACGGCCGCAAGGCUGAA
This 393-nucleotide ribosomal RNA is filed under the name uncultured bacterium. RNAcentral's name for it is "bacterial SSU rRNA". It matches the Rfam family "Bacterial small subunit ribosomal RNA", at positions 505 to 898 of the family's 1533-position model. The record is from RNAcentral.